AAUACUUUAUUUCUCCCCAAGUUUUGACAAUUUAAUGAACUCACGCUUCUGCUCCUAACACAACGUGCAUUGAUGUUAAAUCCUCUAACAAGUAAAAGGAUAAAAAAAACAGAACAAACCCUUGACCUGUGAAACGAAGUGUUGAGAUUAUAUUAUGCCUUCUGGAGAAUAAAUCCCCAAUAUCUCAUAUUCCCCUCCCCAAAUACAAAAAUGUCUAGGGCAAUCUUAUUAGAAUUAAAUCGACUAUCGAAUCAGUAAGAGGUUUGGUCCAGUCAAAAUCGGUAUGACCACCAGUCUAAUCAUUUGAACCGAAUUUUAAGAAAAACAGA
RNAcentral lists this long non-coding RNA (329 nucleotides) under Amborella trichopoda. RNAcentral describes it as "long non-coding RNA (ATRI_LNC002657)". Lineage: Eukaryota; Viridiplantae; Streptophyta; Magnoliopsida; Amborellales; Amborellaceae. The record is from RNAcentral.